UAUUUUAGUCUUGUUAGAGGAACCUGUUUUAUAAUCGAUAAACCACGAAUAUCUUACUUAUUUUAAAUAACUUGUAUACCGUCAUUAUUAGAUAACUUUAAAAAAAAAUUAGUUAUUAAAAUUAAAUAAAAUUAAAUAUAUUAGAUCAAGGUGCAGUUAAUAAAUAAGAAAAAAUGGGUUACAAUAAAAUUUAUUUAAACGAAUUAUAUAAAUGAAAAAAUAUAUGAAGGAGGAUUUAAUUGUAAUUUUUUAUAAAAUAAUAAUAUGAUAAUAGCUCUAAAAUAU
This 285-nucleotide ribosomal RNA is filed under the name Aegla sp. KACa0153. Its description in RNAcentral is "partial 12S small subunit ribosomal RNA". The record is from RNAcentral. Lineage: Eukaryota; Metazoa; Arthropoda; Malacostraca; Decapoda; Aeglidae.